RNAcentral lists this ribosomal RNA (1446 nucleotides) under Triticum aestivum (bread wheat). Its description in RNAcentral is "partial small subunit ribosomal RNA". The record is from RNAcentral. Lineage: Eukaryota; Viridiplantae; Streptophyta; Magnoliopsida; Poales; Poaceae.
AUGGGCGACUACGGCAGCGCGAUGACGCGGGGCAACCCGGACGGCGGCUCGCAGGGCCGCCCAAAGGGAGUGCCCCGCGCCAACGUCCAGCAGCUCAAGCUCAUGGGGCAGGGCCACCCGACGGGCCUCACGCCGAACCUGCUCAAGCUGUUCGAGGCGCGGCCUAUGCUCGAGCACAAGCCGCCCGUCCAGAAGCGCAAGUUGCCGGCCUACACGGGGAUGGCGCAGUUUGUGUCGCGGUUUGCCGAGCCUGGCGACCCAGAGUAUGCGCCGCCUGUCCCAACGUGUGAGACUAAGGCCGAAAAGAAGGAUAGAAUCAGGAAACUUAAGCUUGAGCAAGGGGCAGAUAAGGUCGCCAAAGAGCUUCAGAACUAUGACCCACAAAGUGACCCCAAUACCACUUCAGAUCCAUACAAAACACUCUUCGUUGCAAGACUUAAUUAUGAGACAUCUGAGAGCAGGGUUAAGCGGGAGUUUGAAGCCUAUGGGCCUAUUAAAAGGGUACGGCUCGUAACUGACAAGGAUACAAAUAAACCUAGAGGAUAUGCAUUCAUAGAGUAUAUGCAUACUCGGGAUAUGAAAAAUGCUUACAAGCAAGCUGAUGGGAGAAAAGUGGACAAUAAGAGGGUAAUAGUUGAUGUGGAACGUGGUAGAACUGUCCCUAAUUGGCGUCCCAGGAGAUUAGGCGGUGGACUUGGAUCAAGCAGAAUUUGUGGUGCAAGUGCUGACCAGAAGCCGCCUGCCAGGGAGCCAUCGAGUGUUGGGCGUCCCAGAUCAGAAGAACCUAAGAGGGGUGAUUCCCGUGUAGAUAGAGAUCGGGAGAAGUCUCGUGAUAAGGUACGGGAAAGAGACCGCGAUGAAAAUCCCCGUGAGCGUUCUCAUGACAGAAUACGUGAGCGUGAUUCAAGGGAAGAGAGGCACCACCAUAGAGAUCGGGACAGGACUCGGGACAGGGACCGAGGAAGGGACCGGGAAAAAGACCAUGGGCGUGACCGUGACCGUGAUCGUCGGGACAGAGAUAGGGAUAGGGACCGUGGUAGGGAUCAUGAUAGGGAGAAGGAUCGUGGCCUCUCUCAUGAUCGUCACCGUGAGAGAGGCAGGGAUCGCGAAAGAGAUCAUGAGCCUGCAAGUUACGAACGUGAUCGCGCUCACUUGAAGGAUAGGGAUUCUGAAUACAAUGGUGAACCAAAGCAUGACAGGAGCAUGGCUGAUUAUGGGAAGCAUUAUGGCUCUAACCAGUAUGAGCAACACAAUAGUUACGGGUCGUAUCGCUAUCAAGUUCAAGGCGGGCAUGGGCAUGAAACUGAAAGCUCAAAGGGACAUGAGCAUGAAUACUAUCAGGCACAACCCAACACAGAACCUGAAGGCCCUGAAGAAGGUGAGGCAUACGAGGAAGGUGACUACCAGUAUCACCAAGCAGCAGAAGAGCAAAAGACUGAAGCUUGA